AGGAAACACAGGCCCAGAUGGAAAGUGGCUUGCCCAAUCCCACACAGCAAGGCAGAGAUGGAUCCAUCCAGCUCUCUCCUCCCAGCCAGGGCUUAGCGACAACACAGCUACAGGGGCAUGAGAGGCUCAGAGGCCUGGUCCUCUGGCUGGUGGAGCCUUGGAGGCAGUAGUGAAGAUCCCUGGAAGAGGGAGGCCAUGAAGAGGGAUGCAGAUACCUGGCAAGCCCACCUCCCUUCUAUGCCACCUGCCAGCCUUCUCUGACAUUCCCAAACCAGGGACCAACACCGCCAAUCAGGGAAGAUUUACACGCAUUUAAUUAUCCUGCACUGCUCAGAUGUCAGUCUCUAAAUUCCUAACACAAAUGAACAGAAGACAAAAUCAUUUGCAGGAUUCUGAAAUGAAGUUUUUCAGCGGAACACAGAGAAACAGUUAAAUUUUGCAAAGCUGUGAAACUGGAGAGGGGGCUGUCCUCCAAAUCUACCAACCAGAGACCUGGAAGGAAUUACUUGCAUGAGAUUCAUUUCUCUCUGUCUUUCUCUUUCUCCCCUCUCCCCACCUAUCUGCACCAAACUCACCUGCCAAUUUCAUCAGCGAUACUUGAAUGGAUUUUCUAACCUGUUCCACUCCAAAUUGAUCAGUUAAUUAAGUUGAUCUCUACAAGACUGUUAAAGAACCAGGUCUUUUUCCUUUCAUGUUAUGCAGUUCCAAGUAAACUCCCUUUACUCUGGUAUCCUUAUCAGAGGCAGACAUCACAGGAAGUGGAGCAUUCCUUAUGAAUAUCUUAAUCUACACACAAAUAGAUUUUUUUCAAUGUGAAUUUGGAUUUCUAAAAGCACGCUUACUGCAAGUACAUUUUGCAGCCUCUUGUUUCCAGAUCAGAAUUGAGUGAUUUUCUAUUAUUUAUUUAUUUAUUAUUUGUCACUUUAAAAUAUGCAAUUCUUGGGAUCAUGCAGAAUUGCUGUAUAUUUGCUUUGAAGAUUAGAAUAAAACUGGUAGAUAAUGUGGA
Molecule: long non-coding RNA, 1006 nt
Filed under: Homo sapiens (human)
Lineage: Eukaryota; Metazoa; Chordata; Mammalia; Primates; Hominidae
Description: HSALNT0322969
Source: RNAcentral